GAGGGUAUAGCUUAGUGGGUAGAGUGCAUGCUUUGCAUGCACAAGGUCAUGGGUUUGAUUCCCAGUACCUCUG
RNAcentral lists this transfer RNA (73 nucleotides) under Camelus bactrianus (Bactrian camel). It matches the Rfam family "tRNA". From Rfam's summary of the family: Transfer RNA (tRNA) molecules are approximately 80 nucleotides in length. Their secondary structure includes four short double-helical elements and three loops (D, anti-codon, and T loops). RNAcentral also lists the same sequence under 1 other name. The record is from Rfam by way of RNAcentral. Lineage: Eukaryota; Metazoa; Chordata; Mammalia; Artiodactyla; Camelidae.